AUUUCAACAAAAGCAGAAAAAAAAGAGAAGAAGAGCAAUAACAACGAGUAUUCAUGAAAAAAAGUUUGUAUCUGUGUUAAGAUAGUACUUUAUUAAUUCUUUUUUUUUUUUUUUUUUUUUUUUUUUUUUCUUUUAGAGUAACAUUCAAAAAGAUAUUUCAAAUUAAUAAGAUAUUGGCAAUCAAGAACUUUCUAUAUAGGUAACAAUACAUUCAAUA
RNAcentral lists this non-coding RNA (217 nucleotides) under uncultured Vexilliferidae. Lineage: Eukaryota; Discosea; Flabellinia; Dactylopodida; Vexilliferidae. The record is from RNAcentral.